UAGAUACCCUGGUAGUCCUUGCCGUAAACUAUGUAUACUUGGUGUAGCUGGAAUCAACCCUGCUGUGCCGUAGCUAACGCGAUAAGUAUACCGCCUGGGGAGUACGCUCGCAAGGGUGAAACUCAAAAGAAUUGACGGGGACCCGCACAAGCAGUGGAGCAUGUGGUUUAAUUCGAUGCAACGCGAAGAACCUUACCCAGACUUGACAUACAGUGGAAUAUGGUAGAAAUAUCAUAGCCCUUCGGGGCCG
RNAcentral lists this ribosomal RNA (250 nucleotides) under uncultured bacterium. Its description in RNAcentral is "partial 16S ribosomal RNA". It matches the Rfam family "Bacterial small subunit ribosomal RNA", at positions 779 to 1029 of the family's 1533-position model. The record is from RNAcentral.